Molecule: RNA transcript, 1987 nt
Organism: Dermochelys coriacea (leatherback sea turtle)
Lineage: Eukaryota; Metazoa; Chordata; Testudines; Dermochelyidae
Gene: RAMP1
Gene name: receptor activity modifying protein 1
Exons: 2
Source: RefSeq, a predicted model, not a curated record
AGGGGAGCUCAAUUAGCCCAUGUUGUGGCACCUGGUCAGGAGAUAGGAAAUUAAGGAUUAGACCCAGCUGGGAAGAACCCAAGCAGGUGGUUCCUGUAGCAAUGCAGGGCUUUACUUACAGGAGACAAAGGAGAGAGGGAGGGGGGAGUAGGAGGGAGUUCUCUUCUCCUCUGGCAAAGGAACCAUAGAGGGGCCUGCAGGGUGAAACACAUACCUUGGGAUUGUCCCUGAGGGGAGCUGGGGAGAAGGAGAUGUUUAAAGGAAACCUGGGAGAAGAAAGAUCACAGGGCAGCAGCUUGGGAGGAGCCAGACCUCCAGAGAGAAAGCCCUGAGAGGGAGUGCUCUGUAACAGAACGAGGAGGAACCCUGCAGCACCCAGCAGAGGAGAGAGGAGUCUGUGGUGGACGGGGAGGAGGAUGAAGAUGUUCUGUUGAGUUUUGAGUUGGGCCUUGUUACCCUGGAAGGGGCAGGAGCUGGCUGGAAACCCAAGUUGCUCCACCGGAGGACUAGAGUGAGGCAGAAGGGCUGCAGUGCUGGGUCUUGCCAGGAGGCAGCACCCUGGGAUGUACUCGAUUCCCUAGCUGGACAUCGAUUUGCAUACAAAUGGGAAUGCCUGCUGGAAAAGGGGCCUCAUUCCAGCUUCUCUUUGGCUGUGGCAAUGCAACAGUUCUCCCUUCUACAAAAAUGGAUGCCAUCUCUCCUUCCUCAGAUUGUCUGCCAGGCAAUGGGCCUGAUCUUGCUACGUGAACAUAAUUCCACUGAGGCCAAUGGGCCAGAUCCUGGGCUGGCAUAAACUGAUGCAGCUUCAUUAAAAUUGAGCGAUGCUAAUCUACCACCGCUGGAGACCUGGCCCAAUGCACUUUUACCAGAGUCAGGCCAACAUUUCGCUCCUCUGCUCUGGUGGAAAUCCAGAAGAACUCCCUUGACUUCAGUUGAGUUACAGUCUGAAUUUGAAAUAUGGCUGAGAAGGGCUUCAAAAAGCUUUCCUUUCAGUAUUUUACUUGCCCAAUACUAGAACAUCAUCACACUGUAGCCAUUUUCAUUAAAUUCUGAUUAAAUUGUUGGUAAUCCGCCUCUCGUUCCUGGCAGAUAACAUUCUUUCCCUACGAAUUUGUCCUGUGAGGAAAAGUUGUGUGGUUUUUAAUUUUUGUUUUUGUUUUCAAUGACCACAUAGUGACUUUGACUGGCUGAACUGUAGGUCUUGCCUUGUUUGUGAACCCAUGUCAGUUUUUGAAGCUCUUUUGAAUAUACAGUUCAAUUAAUUUGCACCAGCAGGGCAUAAAACACGAGGGGCUACAUUUUUCACGUGUGUGUGUGUGCAUGCACCUGCACACUCUGUGGAAGACAAGUAGAUAACACACUCUCAGCUCAGGUAUUUUAUGUAUGUUAUGAGCUAUUUAAGGAAUGUUUUCAGCAAAUAAAAACUAUUUCUUGUAUCCCUCCACUUGUAACGCCAUGUGCCUUAAUUCAACUAUGCAGGUCUUAGAGUGAGCCAUUGAAAACCUUUACAAAUAACCUAAAACCUUGGUUCGGUGAUCAUCUUUGUUCUGUUUGUGCAGCUCCUAGCACGAUGGAGCCUAUUCCAUAACUAGGGCUCUGCGGCACUAUGGUAAUACAAAUAAUAAUAUACCACAUUUCCCAAUCAUGUAUGUACCACUCUCUCGUUUACUCACCCAUUAAUCCACUCCUCAGGAUUUGUCCUCACAUUUCAAACUCACAGAGCCAAUCCAGCCAGCCUCCAUUUUCCUAAAACUCACCUCCCACACAAAUCUCUUCCUUCUCCUGCAGAAUGUUGACUGACUCUCGAAAUGUGGCAUGUCUAGCCCAUGUUAACCCUUCCUGAGCACCGGGACUGGUGAGAUCAAGUCCUACGGUAGAGAGAACUUUUCUGUAAACAGUUUGAUUUAAGAAUCCAAGAUCUUGUGCCUUUCCAGAGCUGAGAGCGAGAUGCUGGGUUGUACUGGGAAUCCCCAUUGGUUUAAAACAG